This is a long non-coding RNA of Equus caballus (horse), 3264 nucleotides long. NCBI's taxonomy places the organism in Eukaryota, Metazoa, Chordata, Mammalia, Perissodactyla, Equidae. The record is from Ensembl.
CAUUUUAAUUCAGGUCUGUUGGAGGAGGUCAGAGAGAGGACACGACCACUGGUUGACCUUCCAGCUGACCUGGGCAAUCAGAGACACCUGUCCUUGGAAUGUACAUUCCGCCCACCAUUCCCGCAGCCGGAGCUGUUUUCGCUUUGAGAUAGUAAGGGGGUUGCUGAGACCUGCGUGGAAACCGUGACUGAAUCCCGUGAGGCCUCCUUAUGAAUUUUUAAGAUUCUGGUGGGACGGUACAGAGAUCUGCUCGUCUCGAGGUCGCCCAAGACGAGCACCAUACAUUCGAAAACUGCCCAAGAUAGAGGCCAUCUGUUCAAACCCAGGCGAUCUUAUGGCAAAGCCAACAUUUUUGAUUGCUCCAUUACCCUGGACAUCAGUUCCAAAUGCAGGAAGGACCAUGGGCUAGAACAUCUAGCACUCCUGGAGUUGGGACAGAAAUCCAGACCCAGAGCGUCCUUUCAAAGGCAAAGAGGUACGAAGUCUCACACAGGCUUUGGAGAGAGACAGACGUGCUUUGGAAUCACCAGACUUGUGACUUUGGGCAAGUUUCUGUACUUUGAGCCUCAGGUUACCAAUCUAUAAAAUGAGUUUAAUAAUUGCUGCUCUUCAGGAUUGUGUGUAUGUGGUUAAAUGAAAUCAUAAUCACUGAGUGUGGCACCUGGAAUGCUAUCGUGAAAGCUUGAUGAGCUAUAUUGUAGGAUGCAUAGGACACUUCUUUUGGGAGAUGGAUUUUGUUGUGAAUCAUUGGCCCAGUCUGCUUGUGCUUCUGCUCGAGGCAACCCUGGGAAAAUGCCACGGAAAUGUCCUUCCUUGUUAUUCACAAUAAUUACCCAAUGGCUGUGACAGAGGGCUCGGGAAAGCAUCAUUACUGAGAUCCUCUUAUGGACAGCCCCUUGGACACAACUCUGGCUUCCUGCAGCAGUUUCUGCCUGUUUCCAGCCAGCUGGACAACAAACCAAGGUUAGGGGAUCAGGAAGAAGCAGGAACAAGCCUGUUCCAAGGGGCUUCCCAGGCAGUGGAAGACGCACUGUGAAGUUGGGAACUCAGGAAACUGAAGCUCACAGAAGUUGACUAACCUGAUGGAGCUCCCCCAGCUGGCAAAUGAGACCUGAACAUUCCUUUCCCACUGUGGGUGGGUUACAAUUUGAAGGAAGCCGUUCACCCAGCCAUCUAAUUUCCCAGAGAUCUUGAUUGCGAAGGACCGUUUGCAGAUCCCAUCGGAGGGGCCCAGGUCAGGGGACACCUGGGAGCUGACUUCUCCAGAUCUACACGAGGACGACACAGAAGCCUGGGAGUCCCUUUCCCCCGUCCUCUCUGCUAUUUGGACUGCUCUAUCUGCUUUCAUCCUAGAAGGAAGAACGAGAAGAGGAUUGAACAUAUGGUGGAAAUAUCAUAAUUCUUGUGCUUUGCAUGAACUGUGAUUAUUGAUGAUCGGAAGGCUUCCUGCUUAAGAAGGGAUGUUCUUGUUGCCCUAAGAAAUGAGCCUCUCAAGAGGAACCCACAACCCAACAUGAAGAAGUAACGAGAGUGGGGUUCAGGGAAAGGGUGCAUUAGGCAAUCUACUUGGACAUCUUCUUGGCCAUGGCAAGAACUGGAGGGGCCAUGAAGGUCAAAUAAUUCUAGAACUAUUGCAGGAGAACAGACUGGCACUUGGAAACAGAGCCCUGGUCAAUGGCUAAAGAGAGCAUUAUCUAGUGUGUCUUCAGGGUAGUAAUGGUAGAUUUCCUUACAGUGGCCAUUUGAGAAUUGGGGGAAUUAGGGUUCUAGGCAUCCCAUUUCCACCUUGAGAUGCCGCUCAUGUGGUGUAUGAGAGGGUGUGGAAGCCUGUAUGGAGUAUGCUCUGUGAGCCCUGCGGUCAUUUUACCUGAUGUUCCUGUAGCUUUCACAUAUGCUGUGUCAGAUGCCUUAGAACAGCAAUGAUAACACAUUUUGGGCUAAUGAAGGGGGAGGAUGUUACUUCAGCUGCUAUUUUACAUCAUCCUCAGGAGCUUCCUGGGUGUUACCUGAAACCAGCCCCCACAGCAGAGGGUAGGGAGAGACCAAAGAAAGAGGCAGACCACUGGAGGUUGAUAGGCGGCAGAGGUAAUAAGCAAGGGAACUUCCUUAUCAGACUUGUCUUGGGCAGCCUCAAGACAAGUAGAUUUCCACGCUGCCUGCCAAAUCUUACGCUUUUAUAUAAAAGCAUUAACUGGAUUCAGUCAUGUAUACUGUCCAGAUAGUCUCAAAACUACAUUUCUGUCUCAAGGCUGUAUCCAUGGGACAGCCUCUGGGAAGUCGGAAAGCAAGCAGAAUGCACAUUACAAGGAGAGGAGUAGGGAUGGGGAACCUCCAAUUGCCCAGGUCCAGCGCACAGGUCAGCCAGAGGUCACGUCUUCUUGAUGACCUCCUCCAACAUCAGCAAAGCACCAGCAUAGGAGAAAGUGUAUCCUGUAAGUGUGCUCAAGUUUUCUCAGAUACUGUCAACAGAGAAACUGGUGGGAUGAUCUGAGAGGCUUGUGUUGAUUGACAGGGCCUUCUCCUGGAGUCUAUGCUUCAGGCGCAUUUCCUGAUGUCUCAGUAUCAACUGAACACUUUGCAGAAGACCAUGCCCUAGAGAACUGGGUGCUCCCAUUUCUCUCUCUAGUUCCAGUUUCCUUUUGUGUUUGGUUCAUGGGUAAGUGGCAGUGUGGAGAUGACUCUUAUUUGUUAGCUGGAUGCAGUGAGGACCUGCCUUUCACUAAAGUAUGUAAACGAGUGUUUAUGUAGGAAAACGUCAGAGUCCCUUCUCUUUCUCUCUCUCGCUCCAUAUGUAUAAAUAAUGUUUUUCUAAAUACCUCCACUUAUAAUGCCAUUCUCCAUGAAUUUUAUCAAAAAGCUGAGACUUUGAUGAUCAUUAUACAGGUUAUAUUAUACAUAUUAUUAUAUAGAUAUACUAUGAAAUAGAUGACUGUUAUGUAGGUUAGAAGAUUUAGAAGCCAGGGUCCCCACAAAGUUAAGCAAUUUUUAUUUGCACAGCUCAGUAAAGUGGAAACAUGGAGCAGAUCCCAGACCCUCUGGCUCCAAGGGAUCGUGUCCAACAGACAUGACAAUUCUGUUUGCACGAUGUCUGGCACCUUGUAGGUGCUCAAAAUAUAUUGUUGAGUAAAUGAAUAAAUGUCUAGAAGUCUUUUGGUCAUGAACUGAUUACCUCCAUUCUUUUUUCUUUGUUUUGAUCUGCUGUGUCAGCCUAGGCAGGUGCUCAAUUUUUCUCAUGACAAAGUCCCUCAGUCACCUUUUGCCCCU